This is an RNA transcript of Solanum pennellii, 1663 nucleotides long. It is a transcript of the gene named calumenin-B, with no coding region annotated. NCBI's taxonomy places the organism in Eukaryota, Viridiplantae, Streptophyta, Magnoliopsida, Solanales, Solanaceae. The transcript is spliced from 8 exons. The record is from RefSeq and is a predicted model, not a curated record.
GAGUGUUUUGACAUGGCAGGAGUUGAUUGGUGUGAAGAAUGUGCCACCUCCUCCCUAUUUUAGAUCUUGUAUCAUACCUAAUACAAUCGUCCCAAUCUGAGUCCAAUUUGUCAACUAUUUGUAGGCGAAGAAGAUCGAUCUGGUUCCCUUUGCUGGUUGAUAUUUAGAUGAGGAAAUGGGGAAAGCUUUAGUGAUUAUCUACAUCACAGCUGCUGUGCUCCUUCUAUUCCUCAUCUCUCACUGUCCUUCUCCUUCCAACAAACCUAAGCGUCAUCGCCGACUUAAAUUGCGCUCCAACUUCACUUUUGACUCACAUUCUACCCACUAUGAACAUAUUCCCUUUGACCCUUUAGUUGCUCAAAUUGAACGCCAACGUGAGGAUAAGGAAUGGGAGAAGCAGUAUAUUGACACCCAUCAUCAUGAAUUAAUACAUGAACCUGCUCCUGGUCAAGAAUCUCAGCCUGAAUGGGAAGACUUUAUGGAUGCUGAAGAUUAUCUCAAUGAUGAACACAAGUUCAAUGUAACUGAUAGACUUGUAUCAUUGUUUCCCAAGAUUGAUGUCAACCCAUCUGAUGGUUUUGUCACUGACCAUGAGUUGACUCAUUGGAAUCUGGAGCAGACCCGGAAGGAAGUGUUGCAUAGGACUCAAAGAGAUAUGGAAGUUCAUGACAAAAAUCAUGAUGGUUUUGUCUCUUUCCAUGAGUAUGAGCCUCCUAAUUGGGUUCGGAAUUCAGAUAAUACUUCUUUUGGAUAUGAUAUGGGCUGGUGGAAAGAAGAUCACUUUAAUGCGUCAGAUAUAGAUGGAGAUGGGCUUCUAAACAUUACUGAGUUCAAUGACUUUCUACAUCCCGCCGAUACGACCAACCCAAAACUACUUCACUGGCUCUGCAAGGAGGAAAUAAGGGAGAGAGAUAGUGACAAAGAUGGUAAGGUUAAUUUCAACGAGUUCUUUCAUGGGCUGUUUGACUUGGUAAGAAACUAUGACGAGGAGAGUCAUGAUACUUCUCAUCAUCCUGAGGAUUCACAAGAGUCUCCAGCCAGAAAGUUGUUUGCUGAGCUUGAUAAAGAUGGGGAUGGAUAUUUGUCAGAAGCUGAAUUGCUACCUAUAAUUGGAAAGCUUCAUCCAUCAGAGCGUUACUAUGCAAAGCAACAAGCAGAUUACAUCAUACAACAGGCUGAUGCAGAUAAAGACGGAAGGCUUACUCUGAAAGAGAUGAUUGGUAGCCCGUAUGUUUUCUAUAGUGCAAUAUUCAACGAGGAUGAUGAAGACUAUGAAGACCAUGAUGAGUUCCGUUAGUUCAAGGAUGGUAACACGUCUCUCCUGCCCUCAGUUACUCGUGUAUGAUACUUUCCAGUUAGAUCAAUAAAUAUUUUCCUCAACCACGACGCUGGGUUCACUGUUGUUGUUGCAGCGAUUAAUUCUAUGUCUGCGGUGGAUUGAGCCAUAAUGUGCUGCUGCAUUGAGCACCACGGAAACAUCCCUGAGCCAGGAUUGAAACAAUAUCUAGAUGUGCUCUUCAUGUUAUUUGUUCAAUCACUACUAGAAUACCCAAGAAGUUUCAAAUCUAGUUUUUUAUCUAAAAAAAACUUGACACUAUAAUUACUGUUACCUUUGAUGUAUCUGACAACUUACCGACUAAGUCUCUGAAGUAUUUUUCCUUCA